AAGUGUAGAUCUAUGCUUUCCUUUAUGUUUUAAAGAAGUUUUAAGCAAGUUUGAAGAUGUUUUGAUGGUUGAGUAUGGGUAGAUAUGCAUGUUAGGGUUUAUGUGGGUUUUAUGCCCAAUGUAUGUUUAUGUGAUGUGUUUGAGCUAGUUUAUGCAUGUGGGAGAGUGUAUGCAUGUUUGGGAAAGAGCAAGUGAGAUUGUGGGAUGUUUUGGUGGUUGUGGCCUAUGUGGGUCAUAAGCUA
This 242-nucleotide long non-coding RNA is filed under the name Manihot esculenta (cassava). Its description in RNAcentral is "long non-coding RNA (MESC_LNC012266)". The record is from RNAcentral. Lineage: Eukaryota; Viridiplantae; Streptophyta; Magnoliopsida; Malpighiales; Euphorbiaceae.